Molecule: transfer RNA, 82 nt
Filed under: Chloroflexota bacterium
Lineage: Bacteria; Bacillati; Chloroflexota
Description: Chloroflexi bacterium (hydrothermal vent metagenome) tRNA-Leu
Rfam family: tRNA
About the family: Transfer RNA (tRNA) molecules are approximately 80 nucleotides in length. Their secondary structure includes four short double-helical elements and three loops (D, anti-codon, and T loops).
Source: RNAcentral
GGGCAUGUGGCGGAAUUGGCAGACGCGCCAGACUUAGGAUCUGGUGCCGCGAGGCGUGUGGGUUCGAGUCCCACCAUGCCCA